Equus caballus (horse) is the source of this 1224-nucleotide non-coding RNA. The record is from RefSeq and is a predicted model, not a curated record. Lineage: Eukaryota; Metazoa; Chordata; Mammalia; Perissodactyla; Equidae.
GACCAGAGCACGUGGCCACUCCACGUGGCUAGGCUUCCUCACAGCACGGCAGCUUCAGAGCACUCAUACCCUUCAUGUGGUAGCACAGGGCUCCAAGUGCAAGUGUCCCAGUCAACAAGGAGGAAGCCACCUUGCCCUUCAGGAUGCUGCCUUCCAAGUUACCCGGGAUCCAUUCGCCCUGUUCUGCUGGUCAGAGCCAUCACAAGCCACAUAAAGAGUGAGUGGCACUCUGAAGCGUCUCCCCACGUGCCUGAUGUGCUCACAGGAGCUUUUCAACAUGUCGAGCAGAGCCAGAGCCUUCCCAAGAUGGCAGCCCUCCCCAAGGAGGGCACAGAAAUCACAAUCACCAGUCGCUCAUGCAACACAGACUGUGAGCUCCUCGGAGGGGCUGCGUCCCAUCCUUCAUGUCUUCCUACCACGAGCACAGAACUAGCACAGAUUGGGUGCUCUUUAAGCAUCUACUCAAACUGAAUCACCAGAAAGGUUCCACAUCAGGGAAAUUCCUCUCCAGACAUCUUAGGACACAGAUACCAAGAUGUAGGUACAAGAAUGUUGCAGACAGACCAGACUGUUUGAGAGAGUGAAGUUGUGGACAAGGCCUAAGUGACCAUCAACAGGACACAGGCAUGGGAACACCUGAGGACCCCCACCAACCACCCAGCGGCUUUCUCUGGGAGGGGAGUUUGGGGGUGGAGAUGUUCGAGGGAAAUGAGACUGGACUUUAUGCACUUGUGUACUCUGGGAUCUAACAAUGAGCAGGAGGUAUCUUUAGAACAAAAAGUGUCAUCAUCGACUCUGCAGUGCUGGACGUCAGAAAUGCCAGCAAGAGAAAAUCUUCCCUGACUCCUUGGACCAGCAUAGGCGAAGCUCACGGCAGAUGCUAACCUGACAUCCAUCUUUCAGCUGGGAUCCCAGGGCAAGCAAGGUGUCCUGCCACCUCCUCCAACCUCCCUGCCUCUGCUCCCUCUGAACUCGUUCCUUGAAGAAGGCAAGCUUCACCAAGACUCCAUGCCUCCGCAUAGCUCUCUCUUCUUUACCCGGGGGACUUCUUCCCGUCUGCCAGGAGCUAAUGCAGAUGUCACAGCCUCUGAAAGCCUGCUCUACUCCUUAAGAGAGUUAAUAAUCCCCUCCUUGGUGCUCGCGCAGCCCGCGGCACCCCUGGCCUGCAGCGUUAUCUGUUCUUCUGGCAUGCUUCAGACUACGCACAACUCCACAACACACACA